UCAAGAGAACGUGAAAUCGCUGGAGUGGAACCGGAGAGAGUUGACGUAGCCGGGUAACUAAGUCUACCGAUGUCGCUUAACUGUGACCUAGGUGAACGUAUGUUGCCUAUGGCUGCGCUGACAGCGUUGGCUGUGCGUUCCGAACCGUUUACGUUGCCCACCGUUCGCGGUGGUGUCUUGUUUACGGGUAGGUUUGUCGCGGCUAACGUUUUAUCCUGCUUGCAGGGUGUCAGUGUGAAACUCGACCACCNCUCCGA
This 257-nucleotide ribosomal RNA is filed under the name Nematodirus spathiger. RNAcentral's name for it is "partial 28S ribosomal RNA". The record is from RNAcentral. Lineage: Eukaryota; Metazoa; Nematoda; Chromadorea; Rhabditida; Molineidae.